This 172-nucleotide non-coding RNA is filed under the name Chattonella subsalsa. The record is from RNAcentral. Lineage: Eukaryota; Raphidophyceae; Chattonellales; Chattonellaceae.
AUCAUCACCGAAAAAAUACGUCAGGCUGUUUAAAUCAGAAAACUGUUCUGAUGACUUUGUUGGUCUAUAAAUAAAUUCUAUCGGUUGUUUUUGGAACUUGAACUUUUUUAGUCCUUUGUUUUAAUUACGCACUACUAAAAGUAUUGAAAAAAACAUUUUCAUUUUUCUGAUC